AUUGAACGCUGGCGGCAUGCCUUACACAUGCAAGUCGAACGGCAGCACGGGUGCUUGCACCUGGUGGCGAGUGGCGAACGGGUGAGUAAUACAUCGGAACGUACCUUAUCGUGGGGGAUAACGCAGCGAAAGCUGUGCUAAUACCGCAUACGCCCUGAGGGGGAAAGCGGGGGAUCGCAAGACCUCGCGCGAUUAGAGCGGCCGAUGCCUGAUUAGCUUGUUGGUGGGGUAAAAGCCCACCAAGGCGACGAUCAGUAGCUGGUCUGAGAGGACGAUCAGCCACACUGGGACUGAGACACGGCCCAGACUCCUACGGGAGGCAGCAGUGGGGAAUUUUGGACAAUGGGGGCAACCCUGAUCCAGCAAUGCCGCGUGAGUGAAGAAGGCCUUCGGGUUGUAAAGCUCUUUUGUCAGGGAAGAAACACCGGCUCUAACACAGUCUGGGAAUGACGGUACCUGAAGAAUAAGCACCGGCUAACUACGUGCCAGCCGCCGCAGUAA
This 501-nucleotide ribosomal RNA is filed under the name uncultured bacterium. RNAcentral's name for it is "partial 16S ribosomal RNA". It matches the Rfam family "Bacterial small subunit ribosomal RNA", at positions 30 to 523 of the family's 1533-position model. The record is from RNAcentral.